Molecule: ribosomal RNA, 369 nt
Filed under: uncultured organism
Description: bacterial SSU rRNA
Rfam family: Bacterial small subunit ribosomal RNA
Source: RNAcentral
CGAACUGUGCGAACGUUAUUCGGAAUCACUGGGCUUAAAGGGUGCGUAGGCGGUUAUCUAAGUCAGGUGUGAAAUCUCUCGGCUCAACCGGGAAACUGCGCUUGAACUGGGUGACUGGAGGAAUGCAGGGGUGUGUGGAACUUCCGGUGGAGCGGUGAAAUGUGUAGAUAUCGGAAGGAACGCCAGCAGCGAAAGCGGCACACUGGGCAUUUACUGACGCUGAGGCACGAAAGCUGGGGGAGUGAACGGGAUUAGAUACCCCGGUAAUCCUAGCCGUAAACACUGAGCACUGGAGGAGGGAGGUUUCGGCCUUCUUUCUCGUAGCGAAAGCGUUAAGUGCUCCGCCUGGGGAGUAUGGUCGCAAGGCUG